RNAcentral lists this ribosomal RNA (625 nucleotides) under uncultured bacterium. Its description in RNAcentral is "bacterial SSU rRNA". It matches the Rfam family "Bacterial small subunit ribosomal RNA", at positions 202 to 829 of the family's 1533-position model. The record is from RNAcentral.
GAAAACUCCGGUGGUACGGGAUGGACCCGCGUCUGAUUAGCUGGUUGGCGGGGUAACGGCCCACCAAGGCGACGAUCAGUAGCCGGCCUGAGAGGGCGGACGGCCACAUUGGGACUGAGACACGGCCCAAACUCCUACGGGAGGCAGCAGUGGGGAAUAUUGCACAAUGGGGGAAACCCUGAUGCAGCGACGCCGCGUGAGUGAAGAAGCGUUUCGGCGCGUAAAGCUCUGUCAGCGGGGAAGAAACACGGUUCGCGAGAGCCGCGGACGGUACCCGACCAAGAAGCCCCGGCUAACUACGUGCCAGCAGCCGCGGUAAUACGUAGGGGGCAAGCGUUAUCCGGAUUCACUGGGUGUAAAGGGAGCGUAGACGGCGAGACAAGUCUGGAGUGAAAGGCCGGGGCCCAACCCCGGGACUGCUCUGGAAACUGCCUGGCUGGAGUACAGGAGAGGUAAGUGGAAUUCCUAGUGUAGCGGUGAAAUGCGUAGAUAUUAGGAGGAACACCAGUGGCGAAGGCGGCUUACUGGACUGUAACUGACGUUGAGGCUCGAAAGCGUGGGGAGCAAACAGGAUUAGAUACCCUGGUAGUCCACGCCGUAAACGAUGAUCACUAGGUGUCGGGGG